Molecule: ribosomal RNA, 120 nt
Organism: Erinaceus europaeus (western European hedgehog)
Lineage: Eukaryota; Metazoa; Chordata; Mammalia; Eulipotyphla; Erinaceidae
Source: Ensembl
UCUGAAGUCUAUGGCCAUGAACACAUCUGAUCUCAUCUGAUCUCAGAAGUUAAGCAGGGUCGGGCCUGGUUAGUACUUGGAUAGGAGAAAUCAAUCUGAAAAGGUUAUGUACUAUAAGAG